UACGUAGGGGGCAAGCGUUGUCCGGAAUCAUUGGGCGUAAAGAGCGUGUAGGCGGCCUGAUAAGUCGGUUGUGAAAGUCAAGGGCUCAACCCUUGAAUGCCGACCGAUACUGUCAGGCUAGAGUCCGGAAGAGGCGAGUGGAAUUCCUGGUGUAGCGGUGAAAUGCGCAGAUAUCAGGAGGAACACCAAUGGCGAAGGCAGCUCGCUGGGACGGUACUGACGCUGAGACGCGAAAGCGUGGGGAGCAAACCGG
Molecule: ribosomal RNA, 253 nt
Filed under: uncultured bacterium
Lineage: Bacteria
Description: partial 16S ribosomal RNA
Rfam family: Bacterial small subunit ribosomal RNA
Source: RNAcentral